This 28-nucleotide non-coding RNA is filed under the name Homo sapiens (human). The record is from RNAcentral. Lineage: Eukaryota; Metazoa; Chordata; Mammalia; Primates; Hominidae.
UAGGCAAGAUCCCUACCCUCAUGGAACC